RNAcentral lists this ribosomal RNA (781 nucleotides) under uncultured bacterium. Its description in RNAcentral is "bacterial SSU rRNA". It matches the Rfam family "Bacterial small subunit ribosomal RNA", at positions 602 to 1383 of the family's 1533-position model. The record is from RNAcentral.
CAUUGGCUCAACCAANGUAUGCUUUGGAAACUGUUAGACUUGAGUGCAGAAGGGGAGAGUGGAAUUCCAUGUGUAGCGGUGAAAUGCGCAGAUAUAUGGAGGAACACCGGUGGCGAAAGCGGCUCUCUGGUCUGUCACUGACGCUGAGGCUCGAAAGCGUGGGUAGCGAACAGGAUUAGAUACCCUGGUAGUCCACGCCGUAAACGCUGAGUGCUAGGUGUUAGGUCCUUUCCGGGACUUAGUGCCGACGCUAACGCAUUAAGCACUCCGCCUGGGGAGUACGACCGCAAGGUUGAAACUCAAAGGAAUUGACGGGGGCCCGCACAAGCGGUGGAGCAUGUGGUUUAAUUCGAAGCAACGCGAAGAACCUUACCAGGUCUUGACAUCCCGAUGCCCGCUCUAGAGAUAGAGUUUUACUUUUUGUACAUCGGAGACAGGUGGUGCAUGGUUGUCGUCAGCUCGUGUCGUGAGAUGUUGGGUUAANNNNNNCAACGAGCGCAACCCUUAUUGUUAGUUGCCAUCAUUAAGUUGGGCACUCUAGCGAGACUGCCGGUAAUAAACCGGAGGAAGGUGGGGAUGACGUCAAAUCAUCAUGCCCCUUAUGACCUGGGCUACACACGUGCUACAAUGGUUGGUACAACGAGUCGCAAGCCGGUGACGGCAAGCUAAUCUCUGAAAGCCAAUCUCAGUUCGGAUUGUAGGCUGCAACUCGCCUACAUGAAGUCGGAAUCGCUAGUAAUCGCGGAUCAGCACGCCGCGGUGAAUACGUUCCCGGGCCUUG